AGUCAGGAGUGAAAGGCUACGGCUCAACCGUAGUAAGCUCUUGAAACUGGGAGGCUUGAGUGCAGGAGAGGAGAGUGGAAUUCCUAGUGUAGCGGUGAAAUGCGUAGAUAUUAGGAGGAACACCAGUUGCGAAGGCGGCUCUCUGGACUGUAACUGACGCUGAGGCACGAAAGCGUGGGGAGCAAACAGGAUUAGAUACCCUGGUAGUCCACGCUGUAAACGAUGAGUACUAGGUGUCGGGGGUUACCCCCCUCGGUGCCGCAGCUAACGCAUUAAGUACUCCGCCUGGGAAGUACGCUCGCAAGAGU
Molecule: ribosomal RNA, 308 nt
Filed under: Clostridioides difficile
Lineage: Bacteria; Bacillati; Bacillota; Clostridia; Peptostreptococcales; Peptostreptococcaceae
Description: bacterial SSU rRNA
Rfam family: Bacterial small subunit ribosomal RNA
Source: RNAcentral